AUUUAAGUAGCUUAAGUUUAAAGCUAAUCAUUGAAAAUGGUUAAAUACGUGUUUAUCGUCUUAAAUA
This 67-nucleotide transfer RNA is filed under the name Sogatella vibix. RNAcentral's name for it is "tRNA-Phe". It matches the Rfam family "tRNA". From Rfam's summary of the family: Transfer RNA (tRNA) molecules are approximately 80 nucleotides in length. Their secondary structure includes four short double-helical elements and three loops (D, anti-codon, and T loops). Lineage: Eukaryota; Metazoa; Arthropoda; Insecta; Hemiptera; Delphacidae. The record is from RNAcentral.